Molecule: ribosomal RNA, 253 nt
Filed under: uncultured bacterium
Lineage: Bacteria
Description: partial 16S ribosomal RNA
Rfam family: Bacterial small subunit ribosomal RNA
Source: RNAcentral
AACGUAGGUGGCAAGCGUUAUCCGGAUUUACUGGGCGUAAAGCGUGUGCAGGCUGCGCUUCAAGUGGUGUAUGAAAUCGCUCGGCUCAACCGGGCGCGGUUAUGCCAGACUGGAGUGCUUGAGUCUGAAAGAGGGGGGUGGAAUUCCGGGUGUAGUGGUGAAAUGCGUAGAGAUCCGGAGGAACCCCAGAGGCGAAGGCGCCCAUCUGGCCUGUUACUGACGCUGAGGCGCGAAAGCCGGGGGAGCAAACAGG